CCCUGGCUCAGGAUGAACGCUGGCGGCGUGCUUAACACAUGCAAGUCGAACGAUGAUCCCAGCUUGCUGGGGGAUUAGUGGCGAACGGGUGAGUAACACGUGAGUAACCUGCCCUUAACUCUGGGAUAAGCCUGGGAAACUGGGUCUAAUACCGGAUAUGACUCCUCAUCGCAUGGUGGGGGGUGGAAAGCUUUAUUGUGGUUUUGGAUGGACUCGCGGCCUAUCAGCUUGUUGGUGAGGUAAUGGCUCACCAAGGCGACGACGGGUAGCCGGCCUGAGAGGGUGACCGGCCACACUGGGACUGAGACACGGCCCAGACUCCUACGGGAGGCAGCAGUGGGGAAUAUUGCACAAUGGGCGAAAGCCUGAUGCAGCGACGCCGCGUGAGGGAUGACGGCCUUCGGGUUGUAAACCUCUUUCAGUAGGGAAGAAGCGAAAGUGACGGUACCUGCAGAAGAAGCGCC
RNAcentral lists this ribosomal RNA (464 nucleotides) under Micrococcineae bacterium CL4.110. Its description in RNAcentral is "bacterial SSU rRNA". It matches the Rfam family "Bacterial small subunit ribosomal RNA", at positions 17 to 494 of the family's 1533-position model. The record is from RNAcentral. Lineage: Bacteria; Bacillati; Actinomycetota; Actinomycetes; Micrococcales.